Molecule: ribosomal RNA, 401 nt
Filed under: uncultured bacterium
Lineage: Bacteria
Description: bacterial SSU rRNA
Rfam family: Bacterial small subunit ribosomal RNA
Source: RNAcentral
GGGGAAUAUUGGACAAUGGGCGCAAGCCUGAUCCAGCCAUGCCGCGUGAGUGAUGAAGGCCUUGGGGUUGUAAAGCUCUUUCGGCGGGGAAGAUAAGGACGGUACCCGCAGAAGAAGCCCCGGCUAACUUCGUGCCAGCAGCCGCGGUAAUACGAAGGGGGCUAGCGUUGCGCGGAAUCACUGGGCGUAAAGCGCACGUAGGCGGCUUACUAAGUCAGGGGUGAAAUCCUGGAGCUCAACUCCAGAACUGCCUUUGAUCCUGGUGGGCUUGAGUGCGGGAGAGGUGAGUGUAACUGCGAGUGUAGAGGUGAAAUUCGUAGAUAUUCGCAAGAACACCAGUGGCGAAGGCGGCUCACUGGCCAGAUACUGACGCUGAGGUGCGAAAGCGUGGGGAGCAAACA